GAUGAAGAACGCAGCGAAAUGCGAUAAGUAAUGUGAAUUGCAGAAUUCAGUGAAUCAUCGAAUCUUUGAACGCACAUUGCGCCCGCCAGGAUUCUGGCGGGCAUGCCUGUCCGAGCGUCAUUUCAACCCUCGAACCCCUCCGGGGGGUCGGCGUUGGGGAUCGGCCCUCCCUUAGCGGGUGGCCGUCUCCGAAAUACAGUGGCGGUCUCGCCGCAGCCUCUCCUGCGCAGUAGUUUGCACACUCGCAUCGGGAGCGCGGCGCGUCCACAGCCGUUAAACACCCAACUUCUGAAAUGUUGACCUCGGAUCAGGUAGGAAUACCCGCUGAACUUAAGCAUAUCAAUAAGCGGAGGA
RNAcentral lists this unclassified non-coding RNA (354 nucleotides) under soil metagenome. Its description in RNAcentral is "partial contains 5.8S ribosomal RNA, internal transcribed spacer 2, and large subunit ribosomal RNA". The stretch from base 1 to 120 matches the Rfam family "5.8S ribosomal RNA", at positions 35 to 154 of the family's 154-position model. The record is from RNAcentral.